AUCAUAUGGGGAUCUUUUUAAAAUGCAGCUUCUAACUCAGUAGACCUAGGAUGGGAACAAAGAUUCUGCAUUUCUAAUAAGGCCCUAUAUGAUGCUUA
This 98-nucleotide microRNA precursor is filed under the name Felis catus (domestic cat). RNAcentral's name for it is "mir-544 microRNA precursor family". It matches the Rfam family "mir-544 microRNA precursor family". The record is from Rfam by way of RNAcentral. Lineage: Eukaryota; Metazoa; Chordata; Mammalia; Carnivora; Felidae.